UUUGUCACAAUUUUCUUAUUU
RNAcentral lists this non-coding RNA (21 nucleotides) under Caenorhabditis elegans. The record is from RNAcentral. Lineage: Eukaryota; Metazoa; Nematoda; Chromadorea; Rhabditida; Rhabditidae.